Molecule: ribosomal RNA, 460 nt
Filed under: uncultured bacterium
Lineage: Bacteria
Description: partial 16S ribosomal RNA
Rfam family: Bacterial small subunit ribosomal RNA
Source: RNAcentral
CCUACGGGAGGCAGCAGUGAGGAAUAUUGGUCAAUGGACGAGAGUCUGAACCAGCCAAGUAGCGUGAAGGAUGACUGCCCUAUGGGUUGUAAACUUCUUUUAUAUGGGAAUAAAAUGUUCCACGUGUGGGAUUUUGUAUGUACCAUAUGAAUAAGGAUCGGCUAACUCCGUGCCAGCAGCCGCGGUAAUACGGAGGAUCCGAGCGUUAUCCGGAUUUAUUGGGUUUAAAGGGAGCGUAGGUGGAUUGUUAAGUCAGUUGUGAAAGUUUGCGGCUCAACUGUAAAAUUGCAGUUGAAACUGGCAGUCUUGAGUACAGUAGAGGUGGGCGGAAUUCGUGGUGUAGCGGUGAAAUGCUUAGAUAUCACGAAGAACUCCGAUUGCGAAGGCAGUUCACUGGACUGCAACUGACACUGAGGCUCGAAAGUGUGGGUAUCAAACAGGAUUAGAUACCCCAGUAGUC